UAGGGAAUCUUCGGCAAUGGACGAAAGUCUGACCGAGCAACGCCGCGUGAGUGAAGAAGGUUUUCGGAUCGUAAAACUCUGUUGUUAGAGAAGAACAAGGGUGAGAGUAACUGUCCACCCCUUGACGGUAUCUAACCAGAAAGCCACGGCUAACUACGUGCCAA
Molecule: ribosomal RNA, 164 nt
Filed under: uncultured bacterium
Lineage: Bacteria
Description: partial 16S rRNA
Rfam family: Bacterial small subunit ribosomal RNA
Source: RNAcentral